This 406-nucleotide ribosomal RNA is filed under the name uncultured bacterium. RNAcentral's name for it is "partial 16S ribosomal RNA". It matches the Rfam family "Bacterial small subunit ribosomal RNA", at positions 30 to 526 of the family's 1533-position model. The record is from RNAcentral.
AUUGAACGCUGGCGGCAGGCCUAACACAUGCAAGUCGAACGAGUGGCGUACGGGUGAGUAAUGUCUGGGAAACUGCCCGAUGGAGGGGUAUAACUACUGGAAACGGUAGCUAAUACCGCAUACCAUCGGAUGUGCCCAGAUGGGAUUAGCUAGUAGGUGGGGUAACGGCUCACCUAGGCGACGAUCCCUAGCUGGUCUGAGAGGAUGACCAGCAACACUGGAACUGAGAAACGGUCCAGACUCCUACGUGAGGCAGCAGGGGGGAAUAUUGCACAAGGGGCGCAAGCCUGAUGCAGCCAGGCCGCGUGUAUGAAGAAGGCCUUCGGGUUGUAAAGUACUUUCAGCGAGGAGGCGUUACCCGCAGAAGAAGCACCGGCUAACUCCGUGCCAGCAGCCGCGGUAAUAC